Molecule: non-coding RNA, 73 nt
Organism: Prototheca wickerhamii
Lineage: Eukaryota; Viridiplantae; Chlorophyta; Trebouxiophyceae; Chlorellales; Chlorellaceae
Source: the annotation of a GenBank genome assembly
GCCGAGAUAGCUCAGUCGGUAGAGCAAAAGACUGAAAAUCUUUGUGUCACCAGUUCAAGUCUGGUUCUUGGCA